This 497-nucleotide ribosomal RNA is filed under the name uncultured bacterium. RNAcentral describes it as "partial 16S ribosomal RNA". It matches the Rfam family "Bacterial small subunit ribosomal RNA", at positions 28 to 507 of the family's 1533-position model. The record is from RNAcentral.
GACGAACGCUGGCGGCGUGCCUAAUACAUGCAAGUAGAACGCUGAAGAGAGGAGCUUGCUCUUCUUGGAUGAGUUGCUAACGGGUGAGUAACGCGUAGGUAACCUGACUUGUAGCGGGGGAUAACUAUUGGAAACGAUAGCUAAUACCGCAUAACAAUGGCUGACACAUGUCACUUAUUUGAAAGGGGCAAUUGCUCCACUACAAGAUGGACCUGCGUUUUAUUAGCUAGUAGGUGAGGUAAUGGCUCACCUAGGCGACGAUACAUAGCCGACCUCAGAGGGGGAUCGGCCACGCUGGGACUGAGACACGGCCCAGAACCCUAGGGGAGGCAGCAGGAGGGAACCUUUGGCAAUGGGGGCAACCCUGACCGAGGAACGCCGCGUGAGUGAAGAAGGUUUUCGGAUCGUAAAGCUCUGUUAUAAGUCAAGAACGGGUGUGAGAGUGGAAAGUUCACACUGUGACGGUAGCUUACCAGAAAGAGACGGCUAACUACGUG